Molecule: ribosomal RNA, 253 nt
Filed under: uncultured bacterium
Lineage: Bacteria
Description: partial 16S ribosomal RNA
Rfam family: Bacterial small subunit ribosomal RNA
Source: RNAcentral
UACGAGAGGCCCAAGCGUUAUUCGGAAUUACUGGGCUUAAAGAGUUCGUAGGCGGCGCGGUAAGUAGGGUGUGAAAGCCCUCGGCUCAACCGAGGAAUUGCGCUCUAAACUGCCGUGCUUGAGGAAACUAGAGGUGAGCAGAACUGAUGGUGGAGCGGUGAAAUGCGUUGAUAUCAUCAGGAAUACCGGAGGCGAAGGCGGCUCACUGGGGGUUAUCUGACGCUGAGGAACGAAAGCCAGGGGAGCGAACGGG